This 252-nucleotide ribosomal RNA is filed under the name uncultured bacterium. RNAcentral's name for it is "partial 16S ribosomal RNA". It matches the Rfam family "Bacterial small subunit ribosomal RNA", at positions 524 to 776 of the family's 1533-position model. The record is from RNAcentral.
UACGUAGGUCCCGAGCGUUGUCCGGAUUUAUUGGGCGUAAAGCGAGCGCAGGUGGUUUAUUAAGUCUGGUGUAAAAGGCAGUGGCUCAACCAUUGUAUGCAUUGGAAACUGGUAGACUUGAGUGCAGGAGAGGAGAGUGGAAUUCCAUGUGUAGCGGUGAAAUGCGUAGAUAUAUGGAGGAACACCGGUGGCGAAAGCAGCUCUCUGGCCUGCAACUGACACUGAGGCUCGAAAGCGUGGGGAGCAAACAGG